RNAcentral lists this ribosomal RNA (253 nucleotides) under uncultured bacterium. RNAcentral's name for it is "partial 16S ribosomal RNA". It matches the Rfam family "Bacterial small subunit ribosomal RNA", at positions 524 to 776 of the family's 1533-position model. The record is from RNAcentral.
UACGUAGGGUGCGAGCGUUGUCCGGAAUUAUUGGGCGUAAAGGGCUCGUAGGCGGUUUGUCGCGUCGGGAGUGAAAACUCAGGGCUUAACCCUGAGCCUGCUUCCGAUACGGGCAGACUAGAGGUAUGCAGGGGAGAAUGGAAUUCCUGGUGUAGCGGUGAAAUGCGCAGAUAUCAGGAGGAACACCGGUGGCGAAGGCGGUUCUCUGGGCCUGUACUGACGCUGAGGAGCGAAAGCGUGGGGAGCGAACAGG